Molecule: transfer RNA, 72 nt
Filed under: Patulibacter medicamentivorans
Lineage: Bacteria; Bacillati; Actinomycetota; Thermoleophilia; Solirubrobacterales; Patulibacteraceae
Rfam family: tRNA
About the family: Transfer RNA (tRNA) molecules are approximately 80 nucleotides in length. Their secondary structure includes four short double-helical elements and three loops (D, anti-codon, and T loops). Further hydrogen bonds mediate the characteristic L-shaped molecular structure. tRNAs have two regions of fundamental functional importance: the anti-codon, which is responsible for specific mRNA codon recognition, and the 3' end, to which the tRNAs corresponding amino acid is attached (by aminoacyl-tRNA synthetases). tRNAs cope with the degeneracy of the genetic code in two manners: having more than one tRNA (with a specific anti-codon) for a particular amino acid; and 'wobble' base-pairing, i.e. permitting non-standard base-pairing at the 3rd anti-codon position.
Source: Rfam by way of RNAcentral
GCCCCCAUAGCUCAGGGGAUAGAGCAUCGGUUUCCUAAACCGUGUGCGCGUGUUCGAAUCACGCUGGGGGCG